RNAcentral lists this ribosomal RNA (452 nucleotides) under uncultured bacterium. RNAcentral describes it as "SSU rRNA". It matches the Rfam family "Bacterial small subunit ribosomal RNA", at positions 26 to 518 of the family's 1533-position model. The record is from RNAcentral.
AGAGCGAACGCUGGCGGCAGGCUUAACACAUGCAAGUCGAGCGCUCGUAGCAAUACGGGAGCGGCAGACGGGAGAGUAACACGUGGGAACGUACCCUUCGGUUCGGAAUAACCCAGGGAAACUUGGGCUAAAUACCGGAUACGUCCGUAAGGAGAAAGAUUUAUCGCCGAGGGAUCGGCCCGCGUCCGAUUAGCUAGUUGGUGGGGUAAUGGCCCACCAAGGCGACGAUCGGUAGCUGGUCUGAGAGGAUGAUCAGCCUCACUGGGACUGAGACACGGCCCAGACUCCUACGGGAGGCAGCAGUGGGGAAUAUUGGACAAUGGGCGCAAGCCUGAUCCAGCCAUGCCGCGUGGGUGAUGAAGGCCUUAGGGACGUAAACUCCUUUCGAGUCGGGACGAUUAUGACGGGUACCGGAAGAAGAAGGCCCCGGCUAACUUCGUGCCAGCAGCCGC